AGAGUUUGAUCAUGGCUCAGGACGAACGCUGGCGGCACGCCUAACACAUGCAAGUCGAACGGAGAACAGAGAGCUUGCUUUUUGUUCUUAGUGGCGGACGGGUGAGUAACACGUGAGGAACCUGCCUUUGCGAGGGGGAUAGCUUCUGGAAACGGAUGGUAAUACCCCAUAACAUCACGGGAUCGCAUGGUUUUGUGAUCAAAGAAUUUUUGCGCAGAGAUGGCCUCGCGUCUGAUUAGCUAGUUGGUGAGGUAACGGCUCACCAAGGCGACGAUCAGUAGCCGGACUGAGAGGUUGAACGGCCACAUUGGGACUGAGACACGGCCCAGACUCCUACGGGAGGCAGCAGUGGGGAAUAUUGCACAAUGGGGGGAACCCUGAUGCAGCGAUGCCGCGUGGAGGAAGAAGGUUUUCGGAUUGUAAACUCCUGUCGUAAGGGACGAUAAUGACGGUACCUUACAAGAAAGCUCCGGCUAACUACGUGCCAGCAGCCGCGGUAAUACGUAGGGAGCGAGCGUUGUCCGGAAUUACUGGGUGUAAAGGGAGCGCAGGCGGGAUGGUAAGUCAGAUGUGAAACCUAUGGGCUCAACCCAUAGACUGCAUUUGAAACUGCUGUUCUUGAGUGAGGUAGAGGUAAGCGGAAUUCCUGGUGUAGCGGUGGAAUGCGCAGAUAUCGGGAAGAACACCGAUGGCGAAGGCAGACCUCUGGGCCUUUAACUGACACUAAGGCGCGAAAGCUGGGGGAGCAAACAGGAUUAGAUACCCUGGUAGUCCCAGCCGUAAACGAUGGGCGCUAGGUG
This 800-nucleotide ribosomal RNA is filed under the name uncultured bacterium. Its description in RNAcentral is "bacterial SSU rRNA". It matches the Rfam family "Bacterial small subunit ribosomal RNA", at positions 8 to 822 of the family's 1533-position model. The record is from RNAcentral.